Molecule: long non-coding RNA, 1559 nt
Organism: Lathyrus oleraceus (garden pea)
Lineage: Eukaryota; Viridiplantae; Streptophyta; Magnoliopsida; Fabales; Fabaceae
Exons: 2
Source: RefSeq, a predicted model, not a curated record
UUAAAGCAUAAUAUUGAAAUCAAUUCUAAACAAUUAACACAAUUAUCAAAUUAAGCUUCUACUUAUAACAGUAAUAUCCAAUUAAGACUGUACACGCAUCCAAAUUAAGCUUCUACUUUUAGGUAAAAGCUUGUACACGCAUGCCAGAAUCACUUGGGCCAAAGGCCCAAGUCUCACCAACACGAUUUGGUUUCAAAAUAAUGCUUCAGAGCGUACCUUCAAACUUUCCCCGGAAUGAGCGAUUGUGAGACCUCACGGACCAGCUGAAGCCGCUCGCAUUAACCUCGCAUCAUUGACGUCGGUGCUUCGUCGAUGAGGGAGAAGGAUCACCUUCAGUCGGUAACGCGUGGUCGACGUAGAACAAGAAUCAAUCUCAAUCGAAAAUCCACCGUCGAGGAAAAGUGAGAGUCAAUCUUCAAUGGAAAUGCGUUGUCGAUGAAAAUUGAUCGUUGACGAUGAUUGGAAUGGAGCGAUGCAUCGCCGCUUGAAGUGGAACGUAGAAUGACGAUGCUCGAGUCGAAAGAUGACGAGCGGAAGCGAAUCAAUUCCGAAAAGUUCUGGUGAGUUGUUGCUUGUUGAUGGUGAAGAAUCACCGUCGUCGUUUGUCGCGGUGGAGAAGCAUCACGGUGAUGAAGGUUGAUCGCAUUUGAUGAAGAGAAGAUCGAAGUGUUGACGAUGCGAAGGUUGAAGUGGAGUUAUAGUGUGAAGGUUGAAGUGGAGUUUACGGUGAUGGAUGGGGAGAGAAGAGAAGGAUUUACGGAGAAGAUACUCGAAGCCGGUUAUCUCUUCUACGAGUUCAAGAAGAAGAUUGAAGGUGAGGUUGAAGGUUUUCUUGGCUCUGCUGAAACUAUGUUAGAGGGAGAGUAUGCGUGGAAGUCUGUUAUGAGCCUUUGUGGUGAACGAAAGAAGAAAAAUGAAGAGAGCCGUGAAUGAGUGCGUGAUGUUAGAUUUAUAGGCUCAGAAUUCGGUUAGGAAAUGCAAAGUUAGUUGGAUUAUCUUUCUGUUAUUCAUUUUUUUGCCGUUCUUUUCAAGUUAUGCAGGUUAUUUAUGCCGGAGUUCCCGUUGUUAGGGUUGUGCAGUAGCUUUGAGUUUGGAUUGGUUUUGAUACGCUGCUGUUAGCUUUUCAGCUUCACGGUGCACAAGCCGUUUCUGUUGUAUUAUUUGGAUGCUGGCGGAAAUUGGCUUUGAGCUGAUGCCGUUUGGAUAUUGCAACUUGCGUUUGUAGCUGCCGCUUUCACAUAUGGCUUGUUUGCAUUUGGUUUCCGUUUCGGCGUUUCUGUGAUGCGUUUGGCUUAAAUUGUAGCAGCUUUUGGAAGUGUGUUUGUCUUGACUUCGCUUUCAUGCCGCGUUUCAUGGCUUUGCAGCUUACGCUUGGCUUGUUGCUUUGUUUGCAUUGAAGCUUUGGAUUGUUUUCACAUGUACUUUCCUGCUGCAUUUUUAUUGCUUUUGGCAUUGCAUCUCAAAUGCUGUUUUGGGCUUUAUGGUUUGGACAUGAAUUAAUAUGAGGAUAUGGAUUAAUGGAUUAAUUGAAUGAAAUUGGAUUUGAAUGGUUUGGUUAA